Molecule: ribosomal RNA, 118 nt
Filed under: Cyclobacterium marinum DSM 745
Lineage: Bacteria; Pseudomonadati; Bacteroidota; Cytophagia; Cytophagales; Cyclobacteriaceae
Source: RNAcentral
UUUAGGCGGCCCGGCGCAGGGGACCCACCUCUUCCCAUCCCGAACAGAGAAGUUAAGCCCUGCAGCGCCGAUGGUACUGGGGUUACACCUGGGAGAGAAGUGCCUGUCCCGACUCAUC